This 253-nucleotide ribosomal RNA is filed under the name uncultured bacterium. Its description in RNAcentral is "partial 16S ribosomal RNA". It matches the Rfam family "Bacterial small subunit ribosomal RNA", at positions 524 to 776 of the family's 1533-position model. The record is from RNAcentral.
GACGUAGGGUGCGAGCGUUGUCCGGAUUUAUUGGGCGUAAAGAGCUCGUAGGCGGCUCGUCGCGUCGGCUGUGAAAACCCGCGGCUUAACUGUGGACUUGCAGCUGAUACGGGCGGGCUAGAGUUCGGUAGGGGAGACUGGAAUUCCUGGUGUAGCGGUGAAAUGCGCAGAUAUCAGGAGGAACACCGGUGGCGAAGGCGGGUCUCUGGGCCGAUACUGACGCUGAGGAGCGAAAGCAUGGGUAGCGAACAGG